UUCUUGAAAAUAAGAACGCCUUAACAAUUUUAACUGUUCUUUUUAAGCAAUUCCCAUUCCGUUCCGCUCCGUUCUGUUCUUUUACUAAUUUCGUUCCAAAAUUUUUAAGAACGCAUUCUAAGCGUUCGUUUUUUUUUUGAGCGAUGGGAUCGUUCUUGAUCGUUAUGUUCGUUCUCGGGAAAGAAUGAUCGUUCCACCAGGAACGCGCCCAGCCCUAACUUCAGUAGGGAAGACAAGGUUGUUGUCUCCACCCAGCAAGAUGGAGAUCUGACUGGUGUUUUGGGACAUAUUUUCUUGCACUAAGCGCCACAAAUACAGAUAUGGUAUUGUUAAAAAGCUUAAAUAAUACUGUCUCCAGUGUAAUCUAGUCAUGAUAUAAUUGAUACUGAUAUGAUAUUGAUAUGAUAUUCUAAAGGAAUAAAUAAUAUAUUUUUUAAAGUUUUUUGCUCUUUUUCAACUAUUUUAAUUGUAAUGGUAUGAUUAUGAACAGCAGUGUCGCAACUAGCUCACUUGUGUGAGGGGGAGCAAAAUUUAAAAGGGGGGGGGGUACAGGGUGGCUAGCUCCCUGGUGAAAAAUUUUUCCAAAAAAGUGCUGUUUUUAGGAUUUGAAGAAGGGUUAGCUCUGUGGUCAAAUUCAAAUAUUAACCUUGGCUUGUUCUUUUGUUUAAAAAUUAUUUUUUCCCAACAGCUAUAAAUAGACGACAUGAGUAAAUUAAUUAAACAUAUGUAGUUUCAUGUAUUUGUUAAGAGUCUGUUAUUGUUUCGCACCCCUGAGUUUCGAUCAGCAUAGUUGCCCCUGGAGGAAAUAUUAUUUGCAGAACAGAAAAACUGAUAACCGGUUUAUGAAUCUGUAUAGGCAGCCUACUGGUUUUUUUGUACUUUCUCUCAGUGCUCAGUGUUGGGGGAUCUCUUAUAUUUUAAAGCAUAUAUAGUUCUUUUUUACAUGCAUGAAGAAAAUCCGUUGCAUUUAUUGAAAAGGUGUUUGUAUUUUCAGAAUAUAAAACGUUAUGACUGGUUUUCUAAUAGUCUAGAGAUUUUGCAAGACACUAUGAGAAAGAAGAAAUGGGGAAAGUUACAGGGGUUCAGACCGGCCUUGCAAAAUCAUCUCCAGGUCUGUGCAGUCCUAAGUAGUAAAUAGUUCCUUGCAGCGCUUGACUAUGUAGCCCCCUAUAGGGGGGGGGGAGGCUAAACUUU
Molecule: long non-coding RNA, 1194 nt
Organism: Eurytemora carolleeae
Lineage: Eukaryota; Metazoa; Arthropoda; Copepoda; Calanoida; Temoridae
Exons: 3
Source: RefSeq, a predicted model, not a curated record